Molecule: long non-coding RNA, 1146 nt
Filed under: Ananas comosus (pineapple)
Lineage: Eukaryota; Viridiplantae; Streptophyta; Magnoliopsida; Poales; Bromeliaceae
Description: long non-coding RNA (ACOM_LNC016321)
Source: RNAcentral
AAAUACACAUGUUAGAUUUGGAAUUGACUUAGGAGAAAACUAGCGAUUCUACACCGUCAUUUGUUAAAACUACCAGAUUUAGCUUUAGGAGCCAUAGUUUGUUUGUAUCGUUGCAGUUUGUAAACGGUGGAUACCCAGGAUAGUGUAGAAUGCAUUUGCGCUCGUGCUGAGAUGCCGAGCUUAUUUUUAUAGCAGUGUUUAGGCUGUUCCGAACUGUUGGGUGCCGUUGAGGUUGACGGUGGACCCGAAUUGCUGUUUUUGCAUCAGAUUGUGCCGAGGGCACGUUAGUUUGGUUGUUAGACCCUGCUUACUUGAUUAUAGCCUGUGAGAGCUUGAUUGAGCUCGACAGAGACACGUUUGCAUACUCGGUUGGGUAGCACCCACGAGUGCCACUCCGGAGUCGGGCUUAAUGCUUUUGCGUUGAUGUCGGUUUGUCCUGUUUGGACUUGCUCUCCACUGACGACCUAGCAUGGUGGCAGUUAGUGUAGUUUCGACAGGCGGGACGGGUGUAUUCACAGUCCCUAAGAUUGGAUUAGAGAUUGUAUUAUUCUACAGGUAGUUAGUGUUGGAUCAUGAUAGUAUAGUGGCAUAUAGCUGUAAAUUAUUUUCAGUUCUUUACUAUCGUUGAGCAUAUCAUCUGUAAACUUAGUGGGUGAGCCGUUGAGGUCGGUAGCGGUACCCACUGAGGACUACUUCUUUUUGCAGUAGUUCUCACGCCCAGUUGUGGAUCUUUUGCAGAGCCUUCGAUUACGGUUGCUGCUACUGCUGCUACUGCUGAUACUAAUCGUGGAAAGGGUGUUGCGAGUUAGAGCUCUUCCUGACGAGUCACAGAGUUAUAGGAGUACCAGCUACAGGUAGUUGUAGUUUUUAGGUUAUUAUACAUACUGAUGUUUGUAUCUAGCUGGAGCAAGUGAUUUUGUAUAUCAGGAUGCUAUGUAUGUAUAGUGAACCUCUGUUGUUUAUAUAUGUUUUAUUUCAGCAGCUUUAUACUACUGGUUGUAGUGUUGUAUGAUUACAGGUACAGAUAAAGUUUCGCUUCGUAUACAAGAAAAAUUUCUAUGUAUACGGCUGGUCUGUUUGCGUGCCCAGGGUAACGAGUAAUCCGGGACGUGACAUAUAUAUAUAUAUAUAUAUAUAUAUAUAUAU